CAUGCACUAGUGGGGUCCCUAGGCCUGGCCUGCGAGGGGUCCCAGAUUGCAAGAGGGCACAGGCCAGGCCGAGGGACCCCACCAGUGCACA
This is a non-coding RNA of Myotis davidii, 91 nucleotides long. NCBI's taxonomy places the organism in Eukaryota, Metazoa, Chordata, Mammalia, Chiroptera, Vespertilionidae. The record is from Rfam.